CACGUAGUUAGCCGGGGCUUCUUCUGCAGGUACAGUCUUGACUCUUCCCUGCUGAAAGCGGUUUACGACCCGAAGGCCUCCGUCCCGCACGCGGCGUCGCUGCGUCAGGGUUCCCCCCAUUGCGCAAGAUUCCCCACUGCUGCCUCCCGUAGGAGUCUGGGCCGUGUCUCAGUCCCAAUCUGGCCGGUCGGUCUCUCAACCCGGCUACCCGUUGUCGGCACGGUGGGCCGUCACCCCGCCGUCUACCUGAUGGGCCGCGGAGCCAUCCCCUCCGUCGGGGCUUUAGCCGGGGCGCCAUGCGGCACCCGGGGUAUCCGGGUAUUACCCGUCCUUUCGGGCGCUAGUCCCGGGGGAGGGGCCAGGUUCUCCACGUGUUACUCAGCCGUUCGCCACUCGCUUCCCUCCGGGAGACGGGGUGCCCGUUCGACUUGCAUGUGUUAGGCGCGCCGCCAGCGUUCACUCCUGAGCCAGGAUCAAACUCU
This 482-nucleotide ribosomal RNA is filed under the name uncultured Collinsella sp. Its description in RNAcentral is "partial 16S ribosomal RNA". Lineage: Bacteria; Bacillati; Actinomycetota; Coriobacteriia; Coriobacteriales; Coriobacteriaceae. The record is from RNAcentral.